Molecule: unclassified non-coding RNA, 394 nt
Filed under: soil metagenome
Description: partial contains 5.8S ribosomal RNA, internal transcribed spacer 2, and large subunit ribosomal RNA
Rfam family: 5.8S ribosomal RNA (bases 1-121)
Source: RNAcentral
GAUGAAGAAGUAGCGAAAUGCGAUACUUGGUGUGAAUUGCAGAAUCCCGUGAACCAUCGAGUCUUUGAACGCAAGUUGCGCCCGAGGCCUCCUGGUCGAGGGCACGUCUGCCUGAGUGUCACGCAUCGUCGCCCCCUCUCCCCUCGGCUCGCGAGGGCGGGGGCGGAUACUGGUCUCCCGCGCGCUCCCGCUCGCGGUUGGCCCAAAAUCGAGUCCUCGGCGACGGUCGCCACGACGAGCGGUGGUUGAGAGACCCCCGGACACGGUCGUGCGCGCGCCUGUCGCCCCCGGGAUCUCCUGGACCCUCGGGCAUCGAAAUUCUAGGAUGCUCUCGUUGCGACCCCAGGUCAGGCGGGACUACCCGCUGAGUUUAAGCAUAUCAAUAAGCGGAGGA